Long non-coding RNA from Tupaia belangeri chinensis (Chinese tree shrew), 504 nucleotides. RefSeq lists it as uncharacterized. The record is from RefSeq and is a predicted model, not a curated record. The transcript has 3 exons. Lineage: Eukaryota; Metazoa; Chordata; Mammalia; Scandentia; Tupaiidae.
UAAUUAUGGUAUGCACGUUUGGGGCCUUUUCUCUCACCCCUCCCAAGGAAAAGGAUACUUUCCCAUCAUAUUCUUUCCCCCUCCUCUCUCCAGGGAGGGUCUUGCCGUCCCAGACUGUAUUUGGGGCUUUUGUGCUGCAAAAUCAGGAGAAAGCGGGGAGAGACAAGGAGAAGGAGAAAGAAGAGGAGGAGGAGGAGAAGAAGAAGAAGGGGUAGUGCUUUGGAGCUGGAAGAGAAAUCUGGGAGGCAGAGUUGGUGUAGAGAACCUGAUUUCAGUCCUAAGUUUCCAGAAUUCUGGAGCCCAAGUCCUGUUGUCCUUACAGGGAAGCUGAGCCUCUCCUGCCCGCCACAAGGAGCAGAGGCCCCUGCCGAUGGAGUCAGCACACCCGCCUCUGAGCCCAGCCAGGUGACGCCCACCCCCUGCCCUAUCUUCCCUUUCUCCUGCCCCUGCUUGGUUCCUUAUCUUCUUCCUCCAGCUCCUAGAACAGCCAAAGCCCUUAACAAA